AGCUCGUGUCGUGAGAUGUUGGGUUAAGGUCCGCAACGAGCGCAACCCUUGCCUUUAGUUGCCAGCAGUUCGGCUGGGCACUCUAAAGGGACUGCCGUGUUAACCGGAGGAAGGUGGGGAUGACGUCAAGUCCUCAUGGCCCUUACGGCCUGGGCUACACACGUGCUACAAUGGUCGGUACAAAGGGUUGCCAAGCCGCGAGGUGGAGCUAAUCCCAUAAAACCGAUCGUAGUCCGGAUCGCAGUCUGCAACUCGACUGCGUGAAGUCGGAAUCGCUAGUAAUCGUGAAUCAGAAUGUCACGGUGAAUACGUUCCCGGGCCUU
This 323-nucleotide ribosomal RNA is filed under the name uncultured Pseudomonas sp. RNAcentral's name for it is "bacterial SSU rRNA". It matches the Rfam family "Bacterial small subunit ribosomal RNA", at positions 1057 to 1382 of the family's 1533-position model. Lineage: Bacteria; Pseudomonadati; Pseudomonadota; Gammaproteobacteria; Pseudomonadales; Pseudomonadaceae. The record is from RNAcentral.